AUUGAACGCUGGCGGCAUGCUUUACACAUGCAAGCCGAACGGUAACAGGCCGCAAGGUGCUGACGAGUGGCGAACGGGUGAGUAAUGCAUCGGAACGUGCCCAGUCGUGGGGGAUAACGCAGCGAAAGCUGCGCUAAUACCGCAUACGAUCUCUGGAUGAAAGCGGGGGACCGAAAGGCCUCGCGCGAUUGGAGCGGCCGAUGUCAGAUUAGGUAGUUGGUGGGGUAAAGGCCCACCAAGCCAACGAUCUGUAGCUGGUCUGAGAGGACGACCAGCCACACUGGGACUGAGACACGGCCCAGACUCCUACGGGAGGCAGCAGUGGGGAAUUGUGGACAAUGGGCGCAAGCCUGAUCCAGCAAUGCCGCGUGCAGGAAGAAGGCCUUCGGGUUGUAAACUGCUUUUGUACGGAACGAAACGGUCCGGGCUAAUACCCUGGGCUAAUGACGGUACCGUAAGAAUAAGCACCGGCUAACUACGUGCCAGCCGCCGCAGUAA
This 498-nucleotide ribosomal RNA is filed under the name uncultured bacterium. Its description in RNAcentral is "partial 16S ribosomal RNA". It matches the Rfam family "Bacterial small subunit ribosomal RNA", at positions 29 to 523 of the family's 1533-position model. The record is from RNAcentral.